RNAcentral lists this microRNA (18 nucleotides) under Echinococcus granulosus. RNAcentral's name for it is "egr-miR-10292-3p". The record is from miRBase by way of RNAcentral. Lineage: Eukaryota; Metazoa; Platyhelminthes; Cestoda; Cyclophyllidea; Taeniidae.
GCUGUUGCGGUCAUGUUG